CCUACGGGUGGCAGCAGUGGGGGAUAUUGCACAAUGGGGGGAACCCUGAUGCAGCGACGCCGCGUGGGUGAAGAAGCGCCUCGGCGCGUAAAGCCCUGUCAGCAGGGAAGAAAAUGACGGUACCUGAAGAAGAAGCCCCGGCCAACUACGUGCCAGCAGCCGCGGUAAUACGUAGGGGGCAAGCGUUAUCCGGAUUUACUGGGUGUAAAGGGGGCGCAGGCGGGGAUGCAAGCCAGGAGUGAAAGCCCGGGGCCCAACCCCGGGACUGCUCUUGGAACUGCGUGGCUAGAGUGCAGGAGGGGCAGGCGGAAUUCCUGGUGUAGCGGUGAAAUGCGUAGAUAUCAGGAGGAACACCGGUGGCGAAGGCGGCCUGCUGGACUGCAACUGACGUUGAGGCCCGAAAGCGUGGGGAGCAAACAGGAUUAGAUACCCUUGUAGUC
Molecule: ribosomal RNA, 440 nt
Filed under: uncultured bacterium
Lineage: Bacteria
Description: partial 16S ribosomal RNA
Rfam family: Bacterial small subunit ribosomal RNA
Source: RNAcentral